GACGAACGCUGGCGGCGUGCUUAACACAUGCAAGUCGAACGGAAAGGCCCUGCUUUUGUGGGGUGCUCGAGUGGCGAACGGGUGAGUAACACGUGAGUAACCUGCCCUUGACUUUGGGAUAACUUCAGGAAACUGGGGCUAAUACCGGAUAGGAGCUCCUGCUGCAUGGUGGGGGUUGGAAAGUUUCGGCGGUUGGGGAUGGACUCGCGGCUUAUCAGCUUGUUGGUGGGGUAGUGGCUUACCAAGGCUUUGACGGGUAGCCGGCCUGAGAGGGUGACCGGCAACAUUGGGACUGAGAUACGGCCAAGACUCCUACGGGAGGCAGAAGUGGGGAAUAUUGAACAAUGGGCGGAAGCCUGAUGCAGCAACGCCGCGUGCGGGAUGACGGCCUUCGGGUUGUAAACCGCUUUCGCCUGUGACGAAGCGUGAGUGACGGUAAUGGGUAAAGAAGCACCGGCUAACUACGUG
Molecule: ribosomal RNA, 468 nt
Filed under: uncultured bacterium
Lineage: Bacteria
Description: partial 16S ribosomal RNA
Rfam family: Bacterial small subunit ribosomal RNA
Source: RNAcentral